This 246-nucleotide unclassified non-coding RNA is filed under the name Hevea brasiliensis (rubber tree). The record is from RNAcentral. Lineage: Eukaryota; Viridiplantae; Streptophyta; Magnoliopsida; Malpighiales; Euphorbiaceae.
UCGCGGGAACACGGGACGCAACGCCAUUCGCGUUCACGAUUUUGUCGCAGGUGUGAAAGCAUGCAUCGCAUCGCGCGAAUUGUCGAAUCGCAGGCACAAGAUGUGGUGCGAUUGCGGGGGCAACUCGUCAAAGUNUGCGGAAUCUUCAUCACCUUGAAGGAAAUGUGACUGGAGCGUUUCCAAUUUCACAUCGCUGUAUGCGCAUUGCAAAUCGCGAUGCCGACUCACAUCUGCCCCAUUGCGGAA